GAUGAACGCUGGCGGCGUGCCUAACACAUGCAAGCCGAGCGCGGUCCCUUUGGUGCUUGCACCAAAGACGACUGAGCGGCGGACGGGUGAGUAAGCUUGGGAAUCUGGCGAAUGGAGGGGGAUAGCCACGGGAAACUGUGGGUAAUACCGCGUAAUGUCUAAGGACCAAAGGGGUGGGACUGAGAGGCCACCUGCCAUUUGAUGAGCCCAAGUGGGAUUAGGUAGUUGGUGAGGUAAGGGCUCACCAAGCUGACGAUCUCUAGCUGGUCUGAGAGGAUGGCCAGCCACACUGGAACUGAGACACGGCCCAG
This 311-nucleotide ribosomal RNA is filed under the name uncultured bacterium. Its description in RNAcentral is "bacterial SSU rRNA". It matches the Rfam family "Bacterial small subunit ribosomal RNA", at positions 28 to 334 of the family's 1533-position model. The record is from RNAcentral.